GAUGAAGAACGUAGCGAAAUGCGAUAAGUAAUGUGAAUUGCAGAAUUCAGUGAAUCAUCGAAUCUUUGAACGCACAUUGCGCCCCCUGGAAUUCCGGGGGGCAUGCCUGUCCGAGCGUCAUUACAACCCUCAAGCUCAGCUUGGUGUUGGGCCCCGCCGCCCCGGCGGGCCCUAAAGUCAGUGGCGGUGCCGUCCGGCUCCGAGCGUAGUAAUUCUUCUCGCUCUGGAGGUCCGGUCGUGUGCUCGCCAGCAACCCCCAAUUUUUUUCAGGUUGACCUCGGAUCAGGUAGGGAUACCCGCUGAACUUAAGCAUAUCAAUAAGCGGAGGA
Molecule: unclassified non-coding RNA, 329 nt
Filed under: soil metagenome
Description: partial contains 5.8S ribosomal RNA, internal transcribed spacer 2, and large subunit ribosomal RNA
Rfam family: 5.8S ribosomal RNA (bases 1-120)
Source: RNAcentral